Molecule: ribosomal RNA, 269 nt
Filed under: uncultured bacterium
Lineage: Bacteria
Description: partial 16S ribosomal RNA
Rfam family: Bacterial small subunit ribosomal RNA
Source: RNAcentral
GUCCACGCCGUAACGAUGAUCACUAGAUGUUAGUCCGGCUUAGCUGGAUUAGUAUCGUAGCUAACGCGUUAAGUGAUCCGCCUGGGGAGUACGGUCGCAAGGCUAAACUUAAAGAAUUGACGGGGUCCGGCACAAGCGGUGGAACAUGUGGUUUAAUUCGUCACUACGCGAGGAACCUUACCUGGACUUGACAUGUACGUGACAGCCGUAGAAAUACGGUCUUUUGGGUUUCGAUCCAAACAGGUACACAGGUGCUGCAUGGCUGUCGU